RNAcentral lists this unclassified non-coding RNA (381 nucleotides) under uncultured bacterium. RNAcentral's name for it is "contains 16S-23S intergenic spacer region". The record is from RNAcentral.
UCCGAGUUGACCCCGGCAGUCUCCCAUGAGUCCCCGCCAUUACGCGCUGGCAACAUGGAACGAGGGUUGCGCUCGUUGCGGGACUUAACCCAACAUCUCACGACACGAGCUGACGACAGCCAUGCAGCACCUGUGUCCAGGUUCCCUUUCGGGCACCCCUCCAUCUCUGGAGGGUUCCUGGCAUGUCAAGGGUAGGUAAGGUUCUUCGCGUUGCGUCGAAUUAAACCACAUGCUCCACCGCUUGUGCGGGCCCCCGUCAAUUCCUUUGAGUUUCAGCCUUGCGGCCGUACUCCCCAGGCGGAACACUUAUCGCGUUAGCUGCGGCACGGAGGGAUUCGACUCCCCCCACACCUAGUGUUCAUCGUUUACGGCGUGGACUAC